UUCGCCCACCACGUGACAAUCGCCAACAACACUUCUCUGCAAGCUCCUCUGGAUCCGAAAGCGACCAAUCCUACAAUCAAUACAACUCCCAACCUUUUUUAGGACGAGGACGGACACGCCAACGCUACAACAGAAACGGACGCGGAGGGGCAAAAGGCACCGAUACCGACAACAGAAUACAGACUCGCUCUCAGGCUCCCUAGUUGGAUUAUAAUCAUAGUCAAUAUACAAGUUGAUCCCUUGAGAAAGGUCUUGACAGGACCGAAACGUUGGGAUACAUUAUGGCCUACGAAUAUAUGAUUUAUAUGCUUGUACUAUAAUCAUGGCGCGAUUAGUCAUAUAUUGACAAUUCUUCUGAAUUUUCUGUA
This is a long non-coding RNA of Bufo bufo (common toad), 368 nucleotides long. RefSeq lists it as uncharacterized. NCBI's taxonomy places the organism in Eukaryota, Metazoa, Chordata, Amphibia, Anura, Bufonidae. The record is from RefSeq and is a predicted model, not a curated record. The transcript has 3 exons.